RNAcentral lists this microRNA precursor (80 nucleotides) under Bombyx mori (domestic silkworm). RNAcentral's name for it is "mir-2807 microRNA precursor family". It matches the Rfam family "mir-2807 microRNA precursor family". Lineage: Eukaryota; Metazoa; Arthropoda; Insecta; Lepidoptera; Bombycidae. The record is from Rfam by way of RNAcentral.
UUAACUCAAAUUUCUAUGGAGUUGGAACGUUCGCCUAAGUCGGUAGGAGCGCUCUUCCAAUUGCAUACAAAUUUGAGUUA